This 328-nucleotide ribosomal RNA is filed under the name uncultured eukaryote. RNAcentral's name for it is "partial 18S ribosomal RNA". It matches the Rfam family "Eukaryotic small subunit ribosomal RNA", at positions 1470 to 1796 of the family's 1831-position model. The record is from RNAcentral.
CCCUUAGAUGUUCUGGGCCACACGCGCGUUACACUGAUGAAGCCAGCGAGUAUAUCGCCUUCACCGGAAGGUGCGGGUAAUCUUGUGAAACUUCAUCGUGCUGGGGAUAGACCAUUGCAAUUAUUGGUCUUGAACGAGGAAUUCCUAGUAAGCAUGAGUCAUCAACUCGUGCUGAUUACGUCCCUGCCCUUUGUACACACCGCCUGUCGCACAAACCGAUUGAAUGAUUCGGUGAAAAUUUUGGACAUCGAGAGUGGUGAUUAAUUUCGCUGCUCUUAAAUGGAAAGAAUUUAAACCUAAUUAUUUAGAGGAUUGUGAAGUCAUAACA